Molecule: ribosomal RNA, 459 nt
Filed under: uncultured bacterium
Lineage: Bacteria
Description: partial 16S ribosomal RNA
Rfam family: Bacterial small subunit ribosomal RNA
Source: RNAcentral
CCUACGGGUGGCAGCAGUGAGGAAUAUUGGUCAAUGGCCGGAAGGCUGAACCAGCCAAGCCGCGUGAAGGACGACGGUGCCAAGCAUUGUAAACUUCUUUUGUCAAGGGACAAAAUCAGGCUCGAGAGCCUGACCGAGGGUACUUGAAGAAAAAGCAUCGGCUAACUCCGUGCCAGCAGCCGCGGUAAUACGGAGGAUGCGAGCGUUAUCCGGAUUUAUUGGGUUUAAAGGGUGCGUAGGCGGACUGUUAAGUCAGCGGUAAAAUCCCGGGGCUCAACCCCGGCGAGCCGUUGAUACUGGCUGUCUAGAGAGGACGAGAGGUAUGCGGAAUGCGCAGUGUAGCGGUGAAAUGCUUAGAUAUUGCGCAGAACUCCGAUUGCGAAGGCAGCAUACCGGCGGCGAUCUGACGCUGAGGCACGAAAGCGUGGGUAUCGAACAGGAUUAGAUACCCCAGUAGUC